Molecule: ribosomal RNA, 500 nt
Filed under: uncultured Sphingobacteriales bacterium
Lineage: Bacteria; Pseudomonadati; Bacteroidota; Sphingobacteriia; Sphingobacteriales
Description: bacterial SSU rRNA
Rfam family: Bacterial small subunit ribosomal RNA
Source: RNAcentral
CGCCUUGCCAGCCCGCUCAGAACUUAAAGGAAUUGAGGGGCCCGCACAAGCGGUGGAGCAUGUGGUUUAAUUCGAUGAUACGCGAGGAACCUUACCUGGGCUCAAAUGUAUGUUGACGUAUUCUGAAAGGGAUACUUCUUCGGACAAUAUACAAGGUGCUGCAUGGUUGUCGUCAGCUCGUGCCGUGAGGUGUCGGGUUAAGUCCCAUAACGAGCGCAACCCCUAUCAUUAGUUGCCAUCAGGUCAAGCUGGGGACUCUAAUGAAACUGCCUACGCAAGUAGUGAGGAAGGUGGGGAUGACGUCAAAUCAGCACGGCCCUUACGUCCAGGGCUACACACGUGCUACAAUGGUCGGUACAAAGGGUUGCCAAGCCGCGAGGUGGAGCUAAUCCCAUAAAACCGAUCGUAGUCCGGAUCGCAGUCUGCAACUCGACUGCGUGAAGUCGGAAUCGCUAGUAAUCGUGAAUCAGAAUGUCACGGUGAAUACGUUCCCGGGCCUU